This 263-nucleotide long non-coding RNA is filed under the name Lathyrus oleraceus (garden pea). RNAcentral's name for it is "Pisum sativum (pea) long non-coding RNA (PSAT_LNC015777)". The record is from RNAcentral. Lineage: Eukaryota; Viridiplantae; Streptophyta; Magnoliopsida; Fabales; Fabaceae.
GAUUGUGUUUGUGUUUGUUGUGAAGCAAGUCUAUGAGCAUAAAUUGUGGCUAUGGUUGGGGAAUCAGGGUCAGAAAAUUCUGGGUCAGAAGAGAGGGAAACAUAUGGGGGUGAUUCUGGUGCUGAGGAUGAUGAAGAUGAAGUGCUUUGGUGGGUUUGUUUAGGUUCAGAGGGAGGUAUGAAUGUACGGGCUAUAUUUAGAACUGGUGUAGGUUGGGAGGUUCUGGUGAUUGAGGGUGAAAUAUCAGAGGUGGUAUAAAUAGG